GUAAACGGCGGCGUUAGCGUGAGCGUCUUAAGGUAGCAUGAUAAGUUGCCCUUUAAUUGGGGGCUGGUAUGAAUGGGUUAACGUGGGAGAUUCUGUGUCAUAGAGUAGUCUUUGAAAUUAACUUUAAGGUGAAGAGGCCUUUAUUGAAAAGAAGGACGACAAGACCCUAUGAAGCUUUAUCUUUACUGGACACUUAAAAGUUUUGGGUUGGAUUUUAAUGGGAGAUUAAUAAAAAUAAGUUUUUUAUAAUAAUAUAAAUCUAACUAGAACUAUCUAUGAUUAUAGAUAUGAUUAGCUACUCUAGGGAUAACAGCGCAAUCUUUCUCGAGAGAUGGUAUUGGAAGAAAGGCUUGCGACCUCGAUGUUGGCUUUAGAUACCCUGAAGGUGUAGAGACUUUCAAAGGUGGGUCUGUUCGCCCUUUAAAAUCUAACAUGAUCUGAGUUUCAGACCGG
This is a ribosomal RNA of 453 nucleotides. It matches the Rfam family "Bacterial large subunit ribosomal RNA", at positions 1923 to 2619 of the family's 2925-position model.